AAAGUAAACUGUGGACGAAGAGGCUUGGAACUUUCUGGCUUCCCUUGUUUGAAGGCAGUGGAAGAUGUUAGGCAGCUUGAGCACUCAGGGGGAAGGGGGAACUGGAGUAGGCAGACAAAAAGGGAGGUAAACACAAAGGGGGAACUUUCUUCUCUGUACUACUCAAAACGGGGACUCUGAUCCCACUGGUUCAGAAGAUCUAGGGUACCUGAUGGGUUCUGGAAUUCCUGGUUGGAUGAAGGACUGUAGGCGCAGAGCCUUGAUGCGAGAAGGCAUCAAGACAUCGGGCCAUUAAACAGGUAGGGUAUGGAGAGGACCCAGGGACAGAACUCAAACCUUCCAUCUGGGGCAUCAUCGGGGAAAGAUACUGUUCCACAGUGUUAAAACUCAAAGACCACUGCAAAGUGGGAGAAAAACAGAAUUCUGAGGCUGGAAUAGACAAGGCAGAAGAAUUCAAUGCUGUGCCACAUUCCAGUUAAACAAAUUCUGACCUCACAAAAGGAAAUCAAGAUCUAGGUUCCAAGUGUGAAGAAAAGGCUUCCCUGGGGUUGGUGUGUGCUAGCCAGGAGAUCAGUAUGGUGGGUCUUGUGGGGUGUGAGAACUGGCAAGGGGAACCCCAUCUCAGAUGACAGCACACAGAAACUGGCUUGGAGACCUCCUUCAGGCACAUACCUGCUGCACAAAGAUCACCAGACAGUAGGAGUGGAGACAGGAAAAGACAUUUGCAUCUCAGGGUUGGAGACAGAAGAGGGGGUUGUUUGUUGAUAUUUCCUGCUCUAGCUCUCCUGUUCUUGAACCAAAUUGGAAGAACUCAAGGACUAUGAUGUUGGAUUCACCCAGGGAUCCAUGGAAUCAAAGGUGUUAAUGGGGUUGUCAUGAUGGGCAUCCAUGGACAAGUGUUGGCACUGGCUAACUGGAGAAACUGUGGGCACAGCCGCCCAGGCACCACCACAUGGCGCAAUCCAUCGAUUGUGGGAACUGUAAAGGAGAAAGGAGAAUAGUCUGCGACCACUGAGCCCUGCCUCCUCAAGCAGACCUCACAGCCAGCAGCCCUGGAGGAGCAACAUUAAGCCACUGGGAUUCCCCCAACUUCAGGCAGUGAGUAGGGAUCUCAUUCUAAUGGCACCAAAAAAAGGGCUGUAAAGUGUCUUCUCCAAUCUUGGGCCACAGCUGUAAGGAGCACAUUACUUCAAGAAGAGAAAAUAGUAGGCUUUAAUUAUUCAAGUUAAGAAAAGGGCAAACUACUACCUUAAGAAAAGUUUUCUUAAAAAUAACCUUAAGAAUGUAAUUGGAUUGUUUGUAACUCAAAGGAUAAAUACUUGAGGGGAUGGAUACCCUAUUCUCCAUGAUGUGCUUAUUUCAUAUUGCAUGCCUGUAUCAAAACAUCUCAUGUACCCCAUAAAUACAUACACCUACUAUGUACCCACAAAAACUUAAAAAAUAAAAGUAAAAAAUAAAAUUUAGGGGGGAAAAAGACACAAGUUCUUGAAACAUUUGGGAAUUUUCUGUCAGAAUCUAAUACAAAGAAUUAAAAAAAUAACCUCCCUGCUGUGGUUUGACUGUGUCUCCCAAAGUUCAUGUUUUGGAAACUUAAUUCCUAAUGCAAAAUUAUUGAGAGGUAGGAUCUUUAAGAGGUGAUGAGGCUAUGAGGGAUCUUUGUUUGCCCUUCCACCCUUCUGUCGUGGGAUGACGCAGCAAGAAGGCCUUUGCCAGGCCCCUGGGUCUUGGACUUUCCACUCUCCAGAACUAUGAACCAAAUAAAUUUAUGUUCAUUAUAAAUUAUCCAGCCUCAGGUAUUCUGUUAUAGCAGCACAAAAUGGACUAAGACACUGCCCAUUCAUCUGAACUUUUAAUUUUAAAUCUCUUUUAUCUCAGAUAAGAAUAUCAGAGUAUGACUUUAAAAGAAAUACACUGGUGUAUAUUCUUGAGAAUGGAAAACAAUCUGGGCAGUUAUUUACUUCUGAACUUACUCUUCUGGAAGAAGUUAAAUGCCAAACCACAACAAAAUAAAAAAUACAGUGUAGUCCCCCAAAAAAGGCAUGAACAAAGCAGCUCAUAAAAAAUGCCAAGAAUGGACCCAGUUUCUGAACACCAUGGAGAAACUCUG
This 2107-nucleotide long non-coding RNA is filed under the name Homo sapiens (human). RNAcentral's name for it is "HSALNT0034073". The record is from RNAcentral. Lineage: Eukaryota; Metazoa; Chordata; Mammalia; Primates; Hominidae.